UGCCAGCCGCCGCGGUAAUACGGAGGGUGCAAGCGUUGUUCGGAAUUACUGGGCGUAAAGCGCGCGUAGGCGGCUUUUUAAGUCAGAUGUGAAAGUCCACGGCUCAACCGUGGAAGUGCAUUUGAAACUGGAAAGCUUGAGUAUCAGAGGGGAUGGUGGAAUUCCCGGUGUAGAGGUGAAAUUCGUAGAUAUCGGGAGGAAUACCGGUGGCGAAGGCGACCAUCUGGCUGAAUACUGACGCUGAGGUGCGAAAGCGUGGGGAGCAAACAGGAUUAGAUA
RNAcentral lists this ribosomal RNA (279 nucleotides) under uncultured bacterium. Its description in RNAcentral is "partial 16S ribosomal RNA". It matches the Rfam family "Bacterial small subunit ribosomal RNA", at positions 506 to 784 of the family's 1533-position model. The record is from RNAcentral.